RNAcentral lists this long non-coding RNA (294 nucleotides) under Monodelphis domestica (gray short-tailed opossum). RNAcentral's name for it is "lncRNA (ENSMODG00000036447.1)". Lineage: Eukaryota; Metazoa; Chordata; Mammalia; Didelphimorphia; Didelphidae. The record is from RNAcentral.
UGCUGAACAAAGGAACUUCUCAGUUAGGAAUAUUCAGGGUGUGAUUAAAUGUCCCAGAAGGAGAAAAGCCUGUAAACAAGGACGAUAUUCCAGCCCAAUCAAGAGGAAACCAACUCCUAUUCUCUCCUGCAGAAAGCCUGAUCUCUGUGCACAGCGAAAACUAUCCUUUUGGCUAGAAACUUGGAUUUCAGCCUGGUGAGAAAUGAAGAGAUGUGCUUAAAAUGGAAGCACUUGGGUGAAGCCAUCCAGUCAGAGAGAGAACCCACAAGAGCUGAGAGUUAUUCCAAGGUGUCA